Molecule: long non-coding RNA, 3476 nt
Filed under: Podarcis lilfordi (Lilford's wall lizard)
Lineage: Eukaryota; Metazoa; Chordata; Lepidosauria; Squamata; Lacertidae
Source: RNAcentral
CCCAUGCCUGUUCCAACCCGUUUCCACAGUAAUCUGCCUUUUUAAUUAUUAUUUUUAAAAAGUCAGCACAGAAAACUGCACUUAAUUAUGUAUUUUCUCUUAAAACACCCAAAUAGAUUUUAACACAUCUUUGAGCUGGGUUUUGGAAUAUUUGGAAAAUAGCAAAGCCAGUGGAUAGGUUAAGUUUCAGUCCAAUGCACUACUACAAGAAAGGUCACAGGCCACCUGGAAUGGACCAGGAUUUCCCCUGGCAUUCAAGUACUGUAUAUCCAUAAAUCCAUACAAGUGUAGACAUGGCUGGCCUGCCCAAGAGGCAAGGUAAGGCAACCUCCUUGGAUGGCAGGAUCCACAGGGGAAGCAGAUCUUGAUGUAGAUAUUUAUUCCCCACCUUGUUCCUGAUGUAGAUCUUUACUCACCCCUUAUUUCCUGGCAGGGAAGGAAUGCACAAUUUUGUGGUUUGCCUCAAGUACCAAAAAGUCUUGGGGUGGCCCUGAGUGUAGAGCUCUUUCCAAUUAGGGAUGAAUGAAUCAGUCAGUGCGUUGCAUCCUAGUUCUACACAGAGUAGACACAAUGAAAUUCAUGUGCGUAAGUGAGUCUACUAUGCCUGUGUCAAAGUUUGAACAAAAUCUAUUGUCGGUUUAAUAUGUUAAUUCAUAAGUUUAUUUGAUCUUGUUCAUUUAAUCCAUAGGCUGGGGGGGGGGAUCCAGUCUUCCAGGCCUCUCUUUAUGGACCUCAGGACUUUUCCUAGAUCACACCACUGUGUCCCCCAUGAUAUUCUUGCAUAGAAGCUUCUGGCAGUGAUCUUGAGUAAGGUGAUCCCACUCAGUGCCUCUGCAGAGAAACUGUAUGGCUGGUUCAGCCCUACAACUGAGAUCACCUGGAAGGCCUCAGCCAACACACCCCAUGCCAUCAUCCACCUCCAGGCAUGCUUCAGAUGGCUGUGGAAUUGACCCCACACAACUGCUGCCUGCUUCUGGUGGCUCCAGGUGGGGUCAAUGCCUUCCCCUCCCUUCCAUCACUUUGCAGUCAAGAAGUGUCAGGGACUGGGCAUAGGAGGAAUGGUGGAGACUUCUGACAGGUAUUCAUGCCUUACAGAAUUGAAGGCCUUGGCCUGGUCAAGGGAGAGGAUGUAUCUGGACCAUCAGCCCUGCUUCACAACCUCCAACAUCUCCCUAAAGGUGCACAAGAAGUCCAUCAUGUUUCUCCCUGGAAUUUGUUUGUCUGACCCCAAUGCAACACAUCACUGACCUUGUUCAUGCAUUGCAGAAACAAAUGAGCCUUCAGUUCUUGAUGUCAUAGAAGAGAAUCAUAGAAUGAUAGAAUUGUAGUGUUGAAAAGGUCCCCAAGGCUCAUCUACCCAAACCUCCUGCAAUGCAGGAAUCUCAGCUAAAGCAUCAAUGACAGAUGAUCACCCAACCGCUGCUUAAACACCUCCAAGGAAUGAGAGCCCACAAAUUCCCAUGGGGGACAGUUCCACUGUUGAACAGCUCCUACUGUCAGAAAGUUCUUCCUGAUGUUUAUUUGGAAUCUCCUUUCUUGUAAUGUGAAGCCACAUUUGAGCCUUACUCUCCACAGCAUGAGAACACAAGCUUUUUCCCUCCUCCAUUUGAUAGCCAUUGAUAUAUUCGAAGAUGGCUAUUAUAUCUCCUCUCAGUCUCCUCUUUUGCAGGCUAAACAUACCCAGCUAGAAAACAACUUUAAUGUUGUAUUUCAGCUGUGCCGAGACUGGUAUAAUUGGAGCUCCUUCUGCACUGGUAUCCUGUUCAAAAGCUAGAAUAUGCUCGUACUGCUCCUUGGCCUGGCUUUCUUUUACCAAAUCAAUCUUUUUCUGUAGAAUUAGAAUGUGUUUCAGUUUCAUGAUCUCCAUAGCAGCUAAGUGUUCUUAGGUCUGUGGCUGAGGAUAUGACUCAUCGCCAGUUAUUAACAGCCGAGCUGUGUCCAUGACAGCUGCUCCAUUUAACAUAGCAGCCAUCAAGAUAUCAUGGCCAGGACAAUCCACGAAAGAGACAUGCCUAACUAGUUUAAAAUUCCUUUUGGUCCCAGAAGUAUCUUUUGGGAAUUUGUCAGGUAUACUGCUCCCACAGGAUUGGUAACAUUCUGGCUGAGAACAACCUGGAUCAUGACGUUUGUAAAUCUUAGCUUUGGCAUAGCCCAGCUUGAUAGUGAUAUUUCUCUCCAGUUCAUUUUUGAAUCAACAGUAUGAACUUCAGAAAUAGAUUUUACUACUAUGGACUUUCCAUAAGCUACAUGGUCAAUUUUACCUAUAUUAAUUGUAGCUUGCCUGCUGAUGACUUCUGGUGACAGAGGUGUCAACUUAUUUACUUAAAAGGCACUCAGGGAGAGGUGUGGCUGCUCCAGAGUCACUCCUGCCUCAUCGCCUGCCAUCUUGAGGGAGUUGUCUUUGUCCUCAAGUCACUGUAGAAGAAAGGUGUGCAAAUGGGUCUCUUUGGGAGAAAACAGCCUCAGGCUGGAUGCAGGUUAAUGGAGUCUGUAUGAGGAGAGAAAGACCUUUUAUUUCAGGUCUGUUUGGUGUAAUUUUAUAUUACUAAGAAGCUGAACCUUUGCUUGGACAUGCACAUAAUUUUAUACUACUAUAGUAAUCUAUGCUAUUAUAGGUUCAUCUAACCACAAUGGACUCAGUUCAUUCCUUUGUUGUAUGUACCACAGCUAAAGAUGGUAGCAAAGACUCCACCUCGUAACUGCAAGACACCUCAUACCUUUGCCUGCCUCCUCUGCCAACAUGGCCUCCGGUGAAGGUGCCACCAUGGACUCUGCCGAAGCCACCACUCUUGGCACAAUCUCCUCCUCUGUGGCCUCCACCACCACCACCAAUGCAGCCUUUGCCAAAGCCACUACUGCAGGAACAAUUUCUGCUGAAGCUGCCAGUGUGGCAUCUGUUGAAGCUGCUGCUGUUGGUGCGUACUUCUGGAAGCCAGCUUCCAGAAGUGCCACAAUGGAAGGAGGAGAAAAGUGGUGACACACAGAGGCAAAUGUGGGUUUUGCUUCAAUUUGUGGUCCCAUCCCAUGCUCUUGUACGAGCCAACUGAUUUGCACCACAGUUUGGGACGAUAAAAUGCGCUUACUUUGGUCCCACACUCUGGUGCUGCCAGAGCCCAGGAGCCAAAAUGGGACAUUUGGGAUUGGAAUCAGAAACUGGAAUGGCUUCUGUCAAUCCAGGAUAUCCCGCUUAAAAUGGACAGUUGUGUCACAUAUCUUCCAGUGGUGGUUGAUGUCUGUUGGGAAUGGUAUGGCAGAAGGCAGGGAGGUCAACCAUAAGUGGAGCCAGAGCCAAUGACAGACAAAUCCAACUAAUCCUAGCUUUGUUCUCACCCUCCUUCCUGCAGAGUUUUACAAGGGCAACUGAGACAAAAUGCGAGGAACCUGACACAUGGUGCCUGUCCUGGCCCUUGUUGCCAGGCAAAGAACUUGAACUCCCAACUCAGCUUCUGCCAAAGGCUUUAAAACAUAAAUCAGAG